Long non-coding RNA from Physella acuta, 802 nucleotides. RefSeq lists it as uncharacterized. NCBI's taxonomy places the organism in Eukaryota, Metazoa, Mollusca, Gastropoda, Physidae. The record is from RefSeq and is a predicted model, not a curated record.
CCAAAGAUCGUACGCUUUAACCAUCAACUUGAGGAUAAAAGAAUCAUAAUAACUGGCACUCCGACUGAAACAUUUACAAUCAACCUAAAGAAUUGGAAUCAACAUGCAAAUCAUUCAAAUUGUGGAGAUGGAAUCGUCGCUUUUCAUAUGAGUGUUAGGUUUUGGUAUUGGGAUAAGCAUGUAGUCUUUGAUUCUAAGCCCUUGGGUGAUUCGUGGAUAAUGAAUCGUCACCUCGGACGUUUUCCAUUUGCAAAGAAUGUUCAAUUUAAGUUACAAAUCACAAUACGCAAAAAUAGAUAUGAGCUUCUCUUUGGCGAUGGCAGUGUUCACAACUGGAAUCUCGCAAAUGAAAACGUAGAUAUGUUGUGCAUUGACGGUGAUCUGACAGUCCACAACAUUCUGACAACAUAAAAAUCACUGUAUUAACUUCAAGCACAGCGCAGGAGAGAGCCGCCUUUUAAAGAAAUUUAAACAUAAAAUCCUGACACGUUUUUAAAACGCUUCAGUGUGUUAAAUAAAUCAAUACUAGCAUAUAGUAUAAAGACCCUAUGUAAUGUCAUCUUUAAAAAAAAAAUUAAAAUGCAAUUGUUUUCUAAAAGCAUUCACCAGUUCCUUAUAAUCUUUCAACCGACGUUUCUUUCGUUUUAAGCAUUGACUGUGGAACAUCGCAUUAGAAAUCAUAUCACAGUGCAAAAGAAAGAAAUUUACACACUAAUAUUUAUUUAUUUAUAAAUUUAUUUAUUUAUAAAUUAUAUAAAUAUAUUUAUUUUAUUUAUUGAUCUAUUUUUUUAAAUUUAAACUG